RNAcentral lists this long non-coding RNA (3746 nucleotides) under Medicago truncatula (barrel medic). Its description in RNAcentral is "long non-coding RNA (MTRU_LNC005085)". The record is from RNAcentral. Lineage: Eukaryota; Viridiplantae; Streptophyta; Magnoliopsida; Fabales; Fabaceae.
UCAGAAUCUCUAAUAUCAAUUAUAUUAGCCGAGUUAUAAGCUGGUGUCAGAGUUAUAAGCUGGUGUUAGCAGUCAUACAAUCUCUAAUAUCAAUUAUAUUGGGUCAGAAUCAUAAAAGCAUUACACACAAUUUAUAUUGAAUAAACUAGAAUAACUUUCAUAAUGAUUCAGAGCUACAGAUUACAUGGUCAUGAGUUAGAACAGAAUCAUCUAUGACCUAAUCAAUGGAAAUUAGCCACUCAUAAUAAAAGAAUUUAAGCAACAAGGUUAAAAGAAAUUACAAAGAGAUGUUUUGCUCAUCAGAAUUUCUUCAAUCCGUGAUGCCUACUGUCUUCUAUCUCUCUAUGCGUGCGUGUGUCUUGCUUCUGACAUCCAUUCUUUCCCAAAACCGUCCUUUUCACCGAAAAUCAGAUCCUCCCCUUAUGUGUUGUGCAGCUGGCUUUAUAUAUAUCCUUCUAUAUUCUAAAGUGUCAUUUUCCUUUUGUUCCAACUUGUGGCCUCGGGUCAAACAUCACUUUUGGGUCAAAGCCCAAUUGCCUUGUUUCUAACCUCACGUGCUUCCCUUUUGUUACAAUUUGUAAUCCUUUUCCACAUUAAUUCACAAACCAUGUUUUUGUUUAUUCUCUACUAACCAUAUUAAUUUACCAAUAGAACAUUACUUGACUCAUUAAAUUAAUAACAACAAUUUAUUUAAAAGGACUCUAAUUUAAGUACUAAACUAAUAAAAAUUGACUAAAAUCUCAAUUAAAAGUGACUCAAAAAAUAGUGUAUGACUGACUAUCAUCACAACCCCAAAUUUGAACCGUUACUUGUACUCAAGGAACCAACUUAAAAUGAAAAAUAACAGUAAAAUAACACUUACUUCACCAAUGGGCAUAUCAAAAGUUCAUCUCCCUAGUUAGCAAGUGAUAAGCUAACUUGCUUGGUAACACAUCCAUUCCACAACUUCUCGCAACAAUAUUGAAAUAUAACAUGGUUCACUUAGUCGACAUGUAGAACUAUACUAUAUUACCAAAACUUGAAAAAUUUCUAAGAAUCAAUCAAAGUCAAUAUUAUGUACACUUUUAAGGACUUUUUAGGUUAUAACGGGGCUUAGGUUAGGGGUGGGAUCAUUUGGAAAGUAGGUUUAAGAAAACAAUGGAGUUAGACAUCAUCCUACUGAUCUAAAGCACACCACAGACCACAAUAUCAUAUCAGGGGACUAGAGAUUUUUUUUUAUUUUUACUAAAUGAAACAACUAAUCACUUUUUGACUAUUAAGCAUUUUUUUUUUAAGCUGCAAAUUUGACAAUUCAGCUUAUUUUAUCAUGCUUAUUAUUAUUUUUAUAGCACAAAGUGAUUUUCUAUUCCGCUCUCUAGUACCCCUACCCCAAACUUAGAGUGUUGCUAGUUCCAGGAGCAACCCCAAACUUGAACUUUUCAAAAUAACACACAUAAACAUGCCUAACUCCAACAAAAUUUUGGGUACAUUCCUAAAGUCUCUAGGCUUGUAAUGUGGUUAGUCACCGAAACAAGGGGUCUAAAUCCUAGUGGCUCAACUUGGUUUAAACAAAGGAUAAUUCAAUAUAAACAAAACAAAGGUGGGCUACAAAGGCUCAAGGUACUAGCAAUUUGCCUUAGUGUGUAUAAUAUAUGACCAAUCAAUUACAAAGAAAAAUCGCAAAUCAUAGAAAUAGCAUCUACAUGGAAACACUCAUAUUUGUAAAAAUGAAAAAUAAAUUUCGGCCAUAACCUGACAAGCUGAGGUUUCUGGAAGUUGUGGUUACCUAAGCAUCUUUUCUGCCGUACGCUUCCCUUAUAGAUCAUGCAAACACUACCUCCUUUGAACUUUUGACAAACCAUUGAUGAAAUCUUUGUUACUGAACCGGUAACUUUAAAAAAAAGUAAAUUCAUUAAUAAUAAACGAUGAGUUAUUGAACAAAAUAAAAUAAAAAAUAAGAACUGACGUGGACUUUUUUUUUCGUCCAUCUUUUCACUUUUUUUUUUCUUUCUUCUUUUUUUUUUUUCGUUUUUUUUUUUACUGAAUAUAAAUACCUGGAAAAAAAACAUUAAAAAAAGGAUGAGUUGCCUCCCAUCAAGCGCUUUCUUUUACGUCAUUGAGCUUGACGCUUCAACCACUGUUAGGGUGGCAAAUAUGACAGGAAAAAUAUAUCAUCCUUCUUCUUCGUUUUGUUUGGUAGGAAUUCCAUGAACUUCAUAGAAAGAAGCAGAUGCUUCCAUGCUCCCAUUGUUAAACUUUUGAAAUUUAAGCUUUCCCACCUUAAAGAAGGAUAUGUAUUCAUUUGCACAUGAGUGAGUUCUUCAGACCCCAUUUGCUGAGACUUCAGGUAGAGACCAACCCUCAUUACUUGUGGAUUGUCGUCCACCAAAGUAGCUUGACACUCAGUCUCCAUCUCAACCAACUUUUGCUGAGACUCGUAUGCUUUCUCAACAAGAUUACCACAUUGAACUUCAAAUUUCUCAAAUGAAACUUGAUUUGACAUCAAGAAACCAUCUAAAAUAUUUUGAAGUUGAGAGUUAUAAUCUAUGUUGACCUCUUCAUGCUCUUUUUCUUUAACUAUGAAUUGCUCCUCACAAAAUAGACCACCAUGAUAACCUCCACAAAAUUCACAAGUCAUACUCAAUCUUGUUUCCAAAUCCUUUAUAUGUAGAGAGAUCAUCAAUUUUUCAUAAUAGAGGAUAUUGAUCUCUUCAGAAUGAACUAGUAAUCGACUAUCCCACAUGGCUACAAAACUCAGAGAAACCUUUCAGUAGCAAUGCACAAAGAAAUAGAUAUGACGAGCAUAAAUCAUAAUAUUUUUUCUAUAUAUAAACAAAAAUAUAAAUGACAGAAAUCCUAAAUAAUAAUAACGAAAUUGCCUCGUUGAAAUAAUUCAACAGUCCCCGGCAGCGGCGCCAAAAACUUAUAGAAAAUUAGCAAGUGUACUAAUUUAUAUCGAAGUAAUAAUUUAAUUCGUAUCCACAGGGACUGUUCUAAUCUCUACUUAGCAAUUUCAUUAAUAUUUAGGAUGUAUGUAAAUGGGGGUUGCCCUAGGCAGUUGGUUUGAUUGCAUAAAAAGUAAAUAAAUGACUGAAGAAUAAAAUCGGUUUGGAGAUGUGUUUAAAGAAGGGAUUAAGUCUUUCGAUUCAUCUGUCCAUCGCUCAUUAGUAAUCUGCAUCUAAAUCAUAUGAUUGCUAUUCAGUUUACGACAAUUAACAAAAUAGCUCAGGUCAAUCCCUUGACUCAGAACCCUCUUUUCUAAUUAUAAUUCCCUAAUUCCUCAGGUGAACCUAUAAUCAUAAAAGCAUUACGCACAAUUUAUAUUAAAUAAACUAGGAUAACUUUCAUAAUAAUUCAGAGCUACAGAUUACAUGGUCAUGAGCUAAUACAAAAUCAUCUAUAACCUAAUCAAUGGAAAUUAGCCACUCAUAAUAAAAGAAUUUAAGCAACAAGGUUAAAAGAAAUUACAAUGAGAUGUUUUGCUCAUCAGAAUUUCUUCAAUCCGUGAUGCUUACUGUCUUCUAUCUCUCUAAUGCGUGCGUGUGUCUUGCUUCUGACAUCCAUUCUUUCCCAAAACCGUCCUUUUCACCGAAAAUCAGAUCCUCCCCUUAUGUGUUGUGCAGCUGGCUUUAUAUAUAUCCUUCUAUAUUCUAAAGUGUCGUUUUCCUUUUGUUCCAACUUGUAGCCUCGGGUCAACCAUCACUUUUGGGUCGAAGCCCAAUUGCCUUGUUUCUAACCUCACGUGCUUCCCUUUUGUUACAAUUUGU